Long non-coding RNA from Canis lupus familiaris (dog), 3333 nucleotides. RefSeq lists it as uncharacterized. The transcript is spliced from 3 exons. The record is from RefSeq and is a predicted model, not a curated record. Lineage: Eukaryota; Metazoa; Chordata; Mammalia; Carnivora; Canidae.
GAUGACAUUGGCCAGAGAGGUGGAACCAGUGGUUUCCAACCAUUUGCUGUGUCAUUUCUGUGAACUUUAAAUCUUUAAAUCUUCCUGGUGGUCUGCCAAAUCUUGAUCCAGGUAUAAAAUUGCCUUUUGCUACAACGUAUUACUGAGCAGGCAGUUCAGACAGUUAACUGCCUGAUGGAGCAUUCUGCUGAGUGGAUCGCAAGAUGUAAAACUGGGAACAAUUUUGCCAUACAGUAGACUAGAUAGGAAGGAGAGCAAAUAGAUAGAAGAUUCGAGGAUGAAAGAGCUUUGUUCUUCCAUGAAAGAAGGAAGGAACUAACUUCAAGUGAGGCCUCUUCCCUCCCUCCACUCCAUGGCACGUCUCCAUCGCAUGUGCAGAGGACAGAUUAGAACCGACAAAGUGAAGCAGACAAUGAGACAAUCCCCUGGACACACACCAUCACCUGAAAGGCAAGGAAUGAAUAAAAAGAAGUUUUAUUAAAGAAUUUUCAGAGGCCUUAUUUUUUUAUGAGUUUUUACUCUUAAAAGUGGAGGAGAGGAAGAAUAUGGAGAUUAAGAGAGAACUGGCCUAUCCCUUUCAGCCCAGAAAGGCAACUUCAAGCAGCCCCCAAGACAUUCUUCUACUAUGCAGACAUAUGCAUUAUUGGCCUUGGUUACUGAUACUUUUGGGAGCCUGCAAAAUCACUGAAAAUAGAGAUUGAUAGAAGAGUUUGGGUUUAUUUAGAGGCACUUGGGAGCACUAGUAAAGAGUAACUCACUGAAGAGCCAGAGAUAAGAAUUUGUAAAUAAACUUAACAAAAAGGCAGGGAGGGCUGGGCAUCAUUGGAAAAGUAUGAAAGAAUCUCUUGGGACUUUUUGAUGCUCGUGGACAGCUACGUUUAAACUUUCUGAUGCUAAGUGUCAGUCUUCUCCCAAAUGGGAAAAUCCUUCAGAGGAGGAUCUAUGGCAGCUCCAUUUUCAGGAGACUCUUCUUAAGGGUAGGUGAUGGUUCUUUUUUGUGGCUUUUGAUAGUUCAGAUGGUUUCAACUGAAAGUAAUUUGAAUUUCAACUGAAAUCACUUUGGUGAGUUCUUGAGUUCUUAAUCCCUUCCUGGAUUUUAGCCACAUCCCCGGCCUUUACCCACUAGACACCAAUAGAAACAUCUUCCAUCUCCAGCAGGAAAUCAGAAAUGUCCUCAGACAGGGCCAAGUGCCCCAGGGAAGGUGGGUGAAAAUCGCCUCAAGGUGAAACCAGUUACUCUUAAGAUUAAAAAAAAAAUAGAAUUAAGGGGGAAAAAACACUGAUGGAUUGAAAGCAUAAUUUUUAACCAUACAAUUAAAUUUUGAAGUGUAUUUAUUUACUCCUUGCCAUGAAAGAUUUUUUAAAAUUGGCAAUUUCUUCCACAUUUCCUCCUUCCAUCUCCUGAUAUUGGUUAGCCUUGAUUUUUAUGUUUUAAAAAUUUAAAGCACAUUUUAUUCUGUAGCCAAAAUUCUGAUAAUUAGUAAACUAUUAAAAUAAAUCCACAUUUCACCCUAUGUCCUGUACCACAGCUUCUCCAUUCUUUCCUGAGUUCAUGAAGUAGAUGUACAAUAGAAAUCUUCCAGAAUUGGAGAUAAAGCCUCCAAAUUGAACAGAAAGUACCCCAACAUUCUAGAGACAAGUACUAAGGAAUCCCAGACACACUCUACAGAACUUUCAAGAUGCGUGGCAGUUCCAGCCCUGCUAUCACCUCCACUCCAGCCUACAUAUGCAGAAGAUAAUAACUGAGAGAAGAUUAUGGGGUAGUAAGAAGAGUUGUGCUGUGCUACUCCUCCUCUGCACUUCCCCACAAACACAGCAAGAUGAAACAAAGGAUGAUUGUACCAGAGAAGAAAAGGACUCAGAAAAAGGAGGGUAUGUGGAGGAGACAAGGGAAGGCAGAGAGAAGAAGGAAGGACACCCCUGUAGUGGAGGAAAUAUCUUUGUUCCUCCACCAUCUUAGGUUUAGUGGCUGGAACCCACAAAUGGAACUGAUCAAAGACAAAUUGACAAGUGAAAAAAGUUUUAAUUAUGUACUACAUGUAGAACCUGCAAAGUAAAAUGUGGCUCAAGGUGGCCAGAUGAUUACAUACUAUCUUAUGCUAAACAAAAAAUAAGGGGUUUUGAGCAUCUUUGAUGGGGAGGAGUUAUAGGAGCAUGACUGAGGCAUAGGGACUCAAGAGCAGCUGGUCCUUGGGGUCCCAAAUGCACCAGGUUCAGCCACCUGCUGCGAUAAAAUUCAGAGGUGGAGAAAUGAGCGGUGGUGAAAUAAGAAAGGAAUGUAUUCCAGUGAAGCUGUCACCAGGAAGAUAGCCGACUAAGGUCUCAAAGACUGUUUCUCAAGUGCUGAAAAUACCUCUAGGCUUAUACUGCAGGUGGGCAGCAUAGGUCAGGUUGAUCAUUGUCUUGGGGUCAAUCACAUGGGGUCUUGCUGUCGUCAGGGCAGUCCUUGUUGCUUGAGGAAGUAUUUUCAGUUCCCAUCACGGGAUGCUUUGACCUCCUGGCCAGCAAGGUCUUUUGCCUGAGUUAAGAGAUAAGCUGGAAAGAAGAACUUAAUCAAUUAGAAUGUACAGACUGAGGUCAAAAUGAAGGGAGUUGAGGUCCUCUUUCAGAAGGAAAUGUAUGAUUAAUAAGGUUUGUUGUGUUAUGCAGAUUGAACACAGGUGAUAAGAGCUAUGUCUGGAAGUAGCUCUCUUCCUGGCAUAGAGACAUCUUUAUGAAUGGAAAUUUCCUUUUUAAGUAUAAAUUUAUUUUACCAAAGGGAAAAUUUGGGCUGUUUUUAGAUAGUUAAGGGGAAGUAAAGAGUUUUUCCUAGUCUACUUGUGCUCAGUUGUAUUUCACUUGAAGUAACUCAUAGGCCAGCAGGACAUAUUUGAGAGUGGUGUACUCUGGUACCCCUCAUCUGCCAUAGAUGCCCAACCUUGGAGUGAAAAGAAAAUAAGAGUUAAAUUGAAUAGGAGAUAGAAGAAGCUUUGUUGGAGUCUAAAUACUUGAAAUUACUAGAAAAGUGAUGAGAUCAAGCUGAGAUAACAAGAAAGGAGGAUUUGACUGGGAUGGUUUGAAAACUAGAGAUUGUGAAUAAAGAUUUUCAAUUUGCAUAUUUAAAGAUCAACCCUGUUUAAUAAGCUGAUAGAAGUUGUUUUGAAUCAUCUCUUGGUCCAUUGGAUUUAUUUUUUCCAAGGACUCCUAUUUACUGUAUUGCUUACAUUAUUAAGAAUAUCUAUGGCCUUUAGACUUGAAUUUGCAGUUAAUAAACUAUUUAGUAACACUUUGUUUUAUUCAGAAUUUUGUUGGCAUUCCUUCACCAUCUUUUGGCAUUGAGCAUUGCUGUGAAGA